RNAcentral lists this ribosomal RNA (2547 nucleotides) under Triticum aestivum (bread wheat). Its description in RNAcentral is "partial small subunit ribosomal RNA". The record is from RNAcentral. Lineage: Eukaryota; Viridiplantae; Streptophyta; Magnoliopsida; Poales; Poaceae.
AUGGAUAGGCAAGGCAUUUCAUCUCCGGUAUUCGACAACAACGACGGCGCGAACAACUACAUCACCAAAAUGUCCAUCUUCGGACUACAACACGAAAUGCAAGGUGCACAAUCUACCUUGCGAGAGCGCCUCGACAACCUCGCCAUCGACAUACGACACUCUGAAGCAAGGAAAAGGGACUACAUCGGCACCAAGUUGGGCGAGCUAAAGGAUCAACUACGCGACAUGGUGGCCGACUACAUGUCUUCUUCCCCUUCAUCAUCCUCAAGGCGGCGGCGAGCAAGUCGAUCAUCUUCGGAGCGCAAACAAGAUGCAAGCGCAAGUCGUCCACAUCCACAUAUACAUGGCGACCACCAUCACAUUCGUGAUCAAAAUCGUCAUGAAGGGCAAGUCACCUCCAAGCAUCAUGUACACGACGACGACGAACGACAUCUGCUACGAGCUCAAGUGCGACAACGACAACAUCAACAUGAAGAUGCUCCACAAGCGCAAAUGCAUAAGUCCGAACAAGCCCUACUUCACGCCAAGGCCAAGCUUCAAGAGCAAAAGAGAAGACCGCGAGACGAGCACCACCAAGACGGAGCUACGGCUACAACAACCACUUCGGCAUCUUCGCCAAGUGCUAUGAAGGCAUUUUCGCCUUUGGACGUUCGGCAUCUUCGCCUACUUCCCACAAGUACGCAUACAACGACUUCAUCAAGUCCAAGGCGACCACCUACGAGCGAGGGCGACACUUCCAUCUUCGGAAGCCCCUCAAGGAAGAUGGCCGAGCAUGGGAAAUUCCCUUCGGUCAUGGAGACGAGCUACGAGGUGCCACAUCAUAUGGGCCUCCAACAACAAGACGGCGACAAGAAGGUUGAGCAUGGGACUAUCCCUUCAACCAAGGCCGCGAUAGGAGUUGAGCAUGGAGACAUUUGCACCAAAAUCUCUCCGACACCCACAUAUCAUGAGAUGACCCAAUUGCCAUGUGAGGAGAGCCACCCCACCAUGAGUGAUAUGAGUGACUCCACCAUAUGUGACAUUGAGCGCAUUUCCUAUGAGAGGAUGAGUGUGACCACCACUAGCCCCACACUUGAGAGCAUGCCACACAUCUUAUGUGAGGUUGAGCGCCAUUUGAGUGACUCCACCAACAAUAUGAGUGAGAGCAUCUUUGAGGGAGUGAGUGACCCACAACACUUAGUGAGUGAGGUAGUUGACACGGCAUGUGAGGCCACUAUGAUUUCUAACGAUUUACCCUCUACUCCGAGUGUGUUUUCUUCUUUGGUGCUAGGUCUCCUACAUGACGACACGCCUAUCCUCGACGAGUCCAUACCUCCAAUGGGAAAACCGAUGGCCAUGGUGGACGAUGAUGAACCCCCCACAUGGUACCAUCAAGUUGCAACCUCACCUACAACACAUGAGCUACGCUCCAAAGGUAACAUAGGUGAUAGUGCUUCUCUUGUCCCACUAGUGGACUAUUUUCCCAAUGAUUGCUUGCAUGAUGUUGAUCCACCUAUUCCCAUGCUUCAUGCUAGUGCGACUUCUUCAUGUCAUGACUUACCAAUUUAUGAUGAAUAUGAUGAUGAGCGUGUUGAGUUGCCUAGUUGUGAUGCUAUGCUCCAUAGGAUAUCAUGUGAAAAUUCUAUUGGUCACUGCAUGUUUGACAAUUCAUUGAACUUGUCAUAUGCUAUGAGUGAGAUCUCUCAUAUUGCUUCAUUUCAAUCUCAACAUAGUAACUAUGCAUGCCCCAUUAAGAUAAAUCCCAUUUGCACUUAUGGCAUAGAUGACGAGAUGAUGGUCAUUGGCUUUUGUUUUUCGUGUGAUGAUAUUGCUAGGCUUCCUUUACAUGAUUUGUGCAAUUCAUCUAAUAUACCAUGCCAUGAUCACAUUGUUCCAAAUAUGCUUUGUUUUGGAUGUUGUCAAUAUUCUCCAUGUGAUGUUUCUACAAAUGCUCAUGAGGAGACCCCCAUAGUUUCCUCAUACAUAUUAGGAGAUUUUGAUGCAUUCCAUACUUUGCAUGAUUCCCAUAAUUGCUUGCACCGUAUGCAUACCAUGAAUAACAAUGCUCUACAUAUUUCCCAUGAUGCAUUACAUAAUUUGUGUCUCCAUUAUGCUAUACAUAAUAACAAACCUAUCAUGAUGGAUGACAUGUUUCUAUAUCACACAUCUCAUUUAUUUGAGCAUUGGCUAUUUUGUGCUAACCAACACUUGCACGUAUGCAUCAUAAUGGAUGAUGUGUACAUCUACCACGCACACACAAUUUUUCCUUUGCCUUUGUUUUGUGUAGGUACUCAUGUAUACUCGUCAACCUCUCAAUCCCAAGAGUUGACGAAACAAGCUCUUGAGAGCAACGACGAUUUGGGAUCCCGUGGACUAUCGUUACCACCAUUCCAUUUGCGCAAGGACUACGCGCAUCUCUUCUACUUGGAUCUCACACGGCUUUGGGCUAUUUAUCACUUGUUACCUUAUGCCCAUUCUAUCGUGUUCACUUUGCAUGUUACACCUCUUUCCAUGCCUUUGACAUGCAAUUGUGACCCUUGCUUGCACUUACAUAUGAUUCACCAUUAG